Molecule: ribosomal RNA, 454 nt
Filed under: uncultured Desulfobulbus sp.
Lineage: Bacteria; Pseudomonadati; Thermodesulfobacteriota; Desulfobulbia; Desulfobulbales; Desulfobulbaceae
Description: bacterial SSU rRNA
Rfam family: Bacterial small subunit ribosomal RNA
Source: RNAcentral
ACAAGCGGUGGAGCAUGUGGUUUAAUCCGAUGAUACGCGAGGAACCUUACCUGGGCUCAAAUGUAUGUUGACGUAUUCUGAAAGGGAUACUUCUUCGGACAAUAUACAAGGUGCUGCAUGGUUGUCGUCAGCUCGUGUCGUGAGAUGUUGGGUUAAGUCCCGCAACGAGCGCAACCCUUGCCUUUAGUUGCCAGCAGUUCGGCUGGGCACUCUAAAGGGACUGCCGGUGUUAAACCGGAGGAAGGUGGGGAUGACGUCAAGUCCUCAUGGCCUUUAUGACCAGGGCUACACACGUACUACAAUGGCCGAUACAAAGGGCAGCGACACUGCGAGGUGAAGCCAAUCCCGUAAAAUCGGUCUCAGUCCGGAUUGGAGUCUGCAACUCGACUCCAUGAAGUUGGAAUCGCUAGUAAUCGUGGAUCAGCAUGCCACGGUGAAUACGUUCCCGGGCCUU